This 89-nucleotide small nucleolar RNA is filed under the name Plenodomus lingam JN3. Its description in RNAcentral is "a. fumigatus snoRNA Afu_300". It matches the Rfam family "A. fumigatus snoRNA Afu_300". Lineage: Eukaryota; Fungi; Ascomycota; Dothideomycetes; Pleosporales; Leptosphaeriaceae. The record is from Rfam by way of RNAcentral.
UCCUAUGAUGAUCAGUUUGUGCUUCGGCACGCUGGAAAUUACCGACUCAGGCUUCGGCCGAUGCCGAUAUACAAUGGCUGUUUCUGAUA